AACGCUGGCGGCAGGCCUAACACAUGCAAGUCGAGCGGCAGCGGGAAAGUAGCUUGCUACUUUUGCCGGCGAGCGGCGGACGGGUGAGUAAUGCCUGGGAAAUUGCCCAGUCGAGGGGGAUAACAGUUGGAAACGACUGCUAAUACCGCAUACGCCCGUACGGGGGAAAGCAGGGGACCUUCGGGCCUUGCGCGAUUGGAUAUGCCCAGGUGGGAUUAGCUUGUUGGUGAGGUAAUGGCUCACCAAGGCGACGAUCCCUAGCUGGUCUGAGAGGAUGAUCAGCCACACUGGAACUGAGACACGGUCCAGACUCCUACGGGAGGCAGCAGGUGGGGAAUAUUGCACAAUGGGGGAAACCCUGAUGCAGCCAUGCCGCGUGUGUGAAGAAGGCCUUCGGGUUGUAAAGCACUUUCAGCGAGGAGGAAAGGUUGAUGCCUAAUACGCAUCAGCUGUGACGUUACUCGCAGAAGAAGCACCGGCUAACUCCGUG
RNAcentral lists this ribosomal RNA (490 nucleotides) under uncultured bacterium. RNAcentral describes it as "bacterial SSU rRNA". It matches the Rfam family "Bacterial small subunit ribosomal RNA", at positions 32 to 507 of the family's 1533-position model. The record is from RNAcentral.